This 704-nucleotide ribosomal RNA is filed under the name uncultured Staphylococcus sp. Its description in RNAcentral is "bacterial SSU rRNA". It matches the Rfam family "Bacterial small subunit ribosomal RNA", at positions 192 to 873 of the family's 1533-position model. Lineage: Bacteria; Bacillati; Bacillota; Bacilli; Caryophanales; Staphylococcaceae. The record is from RNAcentral.
CGCAUGGUUCAAAAGUGAAAGACGGUCUUGCUGUCACUUAUCAGCAUGGAUCCGCGCUGCAUUAGCUAGUUGGUAAGGUAACGGCUUACCAAGGCAACGAUGCAUAGCCGACCUGAGAGGGUGAUCGGCCACACUGGAACUGAGACACGGUCCAGACUCCUACGGGAGGCAGCAGUAGGGAAUCUUCCGCAAUGGGCGAAAGCCUGACGGAGCAACGCCGCGUGAGUGAUGAAGGUCUUCGGAUCGUAAAACUCUGUUAUUAGGGAAGAACAUAUGUGUAAGUAACUGUGCACAUCUUGACGGUACCUAAUCAGAAAGCCACGGCUAACUACGUGCCAGCAGCCGCGGUAAUACGUAGGUGGCAAGCGUUAUCCGGAAUUAUUGGGCGUAAAGCGCGCGUAGGCGGUUUUUUAAGUCUGAUGUGAAAGCCCACGGCUCAACCGUGGAGGGUCAUUGGAAACUGGAAAACUUGAGUGCAGAAGAGGAAAGUGGAAUUCCAUGUGUAGCCGGUGAAAUGCGCAGAGAUAUGGAGGAACACCAGUGGCGAAGGCGACUUUCUGGUCUGUAACUGACGCUGAUGUGCGAAAGCGUGGGGAUCAAACAGGAUUAGAUACCCUGGUAGUCCACGCCGUAAACGAUGAGUGCUACAGUGUUAGGGGGUUUCCGCCCCUUAGUGCUGCAGCUAACGCAUUAAGCACUCCGCC